UAGCUCAGCGACAGAGCAUUUGCCUGGCACGUAAAAGGCCCUGGUUUCAAUCCCCAG
This 57-nucleotide transfer RNA is filed under the name Ictidomys tridecemlineatus (thirteen-lined ground squirrel). RNAcentral's name for it is "Spermophilus tridecemlineatus (thirteen-lined ground squirrel) tRNA". It matches the Rfam family "tRNA", at positions 8 to 63 of the family's 71-position model. Rfam says of the family: Transfer RNA (tRNA) molecules are approximately 80 nucleotides in length. Their secondary structure includes four short double-helical elements and three loops (D, anti-codon, and T loops). The record is from Rfam by way of RNAcentral. Lineage: Eukaryota; Metazoa; Chordata; Mammalia; Rodentia; Sciuridae.